This 279-nucleotide ribosomal RNA is filed under the name uncultured bacterium. Its description in RNAcentral is "partial 16S ribosomal RNA". It matches the Rfam family "Bacterial small subunit ribosomal RNA", at positions 506 to 784 of the family's 1533-position model. The record is from RNAcentral.
UGCCAGCCGCCGCGGUAAUACGGAGGGUGCAAGCGUUGUUCGGAAUUAUUGGGCGUAAAGCGUGCGUAGGCGGAUUGUUAAGUCUGAUGUGAAAUCCCGCGGCUCAACCGCGGACGUGCAUUGGAUACUGGCAGUCUUGAGUCCCGGAGAGGAGAGCGGAAUUCCUAGUGUAGAGGUGAAAUUCGUAGAUAUUGGGAGGAACACCAGUGGCGAAAGCGGCUCUCUGGCUCGAUACUGACGCUGAGGUGCGAAAGUGUGGGGAGCAAACAGGAUUAGAUA